UCCUACGGGGGGCAGCAGUGAGGAAUAUUGGUCAAUGGGCGCGAGCCUGAACCAGCCAAGUCGCGUGAGGGAAGACGGUCCUAUGGAUUGUAAACCUCUUUUGUCGGGGAGCAAAAGAUGCCACGUGUGGCGUUCCGAGAGUACCCGAAGAAAAAGCAUCGGCUAACUCCGUGCCAGCAGCCGCGGUAAUACGGAGGAUGCGAGCGUUAUCCGGAUUUAUUGGGUUUAAAGGGUGCGCAGGCGGAAGAUCAAGUCAGCGGUAAAAUUGAG
Molecule: ribosomal RNA, 270 nt
Filed under: uncultured bacterium
Lineage: Bacteria
Description: partial 16S ribosomal RNA
Rfam family: Bacterial small subunit ribosomal RNA
Source: RNAcentral